Molecule: ribosomal RNA, 728 nt
Filed under: Enterobacter sp.
Lineage: Bacteria; Pseudomonadati; Pseudomonadota; Gammaproteobacteria; Enterobacterales; Enterobacteriaceae
Description: partial 16S ribosomal RNA
Rfam family: Bacterial small subunit ribosomal RNA
Source: RNAcentral
GUCGAACGGUAACAGAAUCUUUCUUGCUACUUUGCUGACGAGUGGCCGAUGGGUGAGUAAUGUCUGGGAAACUGCCUGAUGGAGGGCGAUAACUACUGGAAACGGAAUCUAAUACCGCAUAACGUCGCAAGACCAAAGAGGGGGACCUUCGGGCCUCUUGCCAUCAGAUGUGCCCAGAUGGGAUUAUCUAGUAGGUGGGGUAACGGUUCACCUACGCCACGAUCCCUAGCUGGUCUGAAAGGAUGACCAGCCACACUGGAACUGAAACACGGCCCCCACUCCUACGGUAAGCACCCGGGGGGAAUUUUGGGCAAUGGGCGCAAGCCUGAUGCCCCCAUGCCGCGUGUAUGAAAAACGGCUUCGGGUUUUAAAAUACUUUCCCCGGGGAAGAAGGGGGGAAGGUUAUGAAACCCCUGCAUUUGAGGUGAAGAAAAAAAACCCAUCGGUAAAUUCCUGCCCAGAAUCCCGGGAAAACGAAGGUUGCACGCGUUACUUCAAAUUAAGGGGGUAAAGCGCCGGUGGGGGGGGGCCAAUCGAAUGUUAAAUUUCCGGGCUCGCCUGGACUUGCAUUCGAACUAUUAAGCUAGAUUCUUGCAAAAGGCGGUACAAUUUGGGGUGUACCGGAAAUCUGCUUAGAUUUCGGGGAGGAACAACCGGGGGUAAAAGCUCCCGUUGGGCCCCAAAAUUUUUUCCCUCGUGGGCGAAAGGUUUUUUGACCAGGGGGGGAA